ACGGGUGAGUAAUGCCUAGGAAUCUGCCUGGUAGUGGGGGAUAACGCUCGGAAACGGACGCUAAUACCGCAUACGUCCUACGGGAGAAAGCAGGGGACCUUCGGGCCUUGCGCUAUCAGAUGAGCCUAGGUCGGAUUAGCUAGUUGGUGAGGUAAUGGCUCACCAAGGCGACGAUCCGUAACUGGUCUGAGAGGAUGAUCAGUCACACUGGAACUGAGACACGGUCCAGACUCCUACGGGAGGCAGCAGUGGGGAAUAUUGGACAAUGGGCGAAAGCCUGAUCCAGCCAUGCCGCGUGUGUGAAGAAGGUCUUCGGAUUGUAAAGCACUUUAAGUUGGGAGGAAGGGCAUUUACCUAAUACGUAAGUGUUUUGACGUUACCGACAGAAUAAGCACCGGCUAACUCUGUGCCAGCAGCCGCGGUAAUACAGAGGGUGCAAGCGUUAAUCGGAAUUACUGGGCGUAAAGCGCGCGUAGGUGGUUUGUUAAGUUGGAUGUGAAAUCUCCGGGCUCAACCUGGGAACUGCAUUCAAAACUGACAAGCUAGAGUAUGGUAGAGGGUGGUGGAAUUUCCUGUGUAGCGGUG
Molecule: ribosomal RNA, 585 nt
Filed under: Pseudomonas sp. StFRB377
Lineage: Bacteria; Pseudomonadati; Pseudomonadota; Gammaproteobacteria; Pseudomonadales; Pseudomonadaceae
Description: bacterial SSU rRNA
Rfam family: Bacterial small subunit ribosomal RNA
Source: RNAcentral